This is an RNA transcript of Juglans microcarpa x Juglans regia, 938 nucleotides long. RefSeq lists it as uncharacterized. Lineage: Eukaryota; Viridiplantae; Streptophyta; Magnoliopsida; Fagales; Juglandaceae. The transcript is spliced from 3 exons. The record is from RefSeq and is a predicted model, not a curated record.
CGCUUCUCAGUUCUCACGGAAAAACCCCUCUUUUUGAACUAAAAUCAUCCAUCUGCGGUUAGAAAAUCAGAUAGAGAGAAUGUUUGGGAGGAUCAGAGCGUCGUCUUCCUCGCCGGAGAGCUUGGAGAGGCCGCCUUCCAAGAUUCUCAAAGAUGAUCCUCUCUCCAUUUACGGAUCUGGAUUGGCGAGCAGAAACGCUGAUGAGGUCAAAUUUGAUCUUUUGAUGUGAGAGACGAGUCCCAAAAGCCUGAGGUUUACGUUGUUCUAUUAAGUUUACUUUUGGAAUUUAUCACAUUAUGAAAGUCCUGCAAUUCCAUCUUUCAUCGUAUGCUGUUACGCGAGAAUCAAUCUUAGAUCUUAACUUUGAGAGGCUACCCUAAUGAAGCUCAAAUUAGGUUCUCAACGUGAGCUAAGUUCACCCUCCGAGCAGACGGUGCAGACAGAAGUCGAUUUUGAUUUAAGCUCAUCAUCCUCUGCAGGGGCUACCAGUAAUUCCAACAGUUUUGAAAAUACUGCAAUCUCCCUUGUGAGGAGGUAAUGGCGAUAGAUACAGAAUGUUCUUCCAGAAGUGGUUCACCCGAUUCAGUUGAUUCUCGUCCCACGAGCAGCAUGAAAGAGCAACAGAGCAGGAGUAAUUCAGUUCUUUACCUCUUUUCUAAAUUUAUGAAUUCUCGAGAGGUUGUAUGUUUAUCCUGUGAGGAUGCCAUGCAAUUACAGGAUGGUUGUUCUUCCAUUGUUUCAACAACUUCCAAGUGACCGUCAAUCUCUUGGUCGCAUGGAACUGGAGAUGGAUCAGGAAUGUGUCGGCUCUUUACCUUUCUCCCAAAUGUAGGAUCCGAACUGGGUUUCUGAUCUGGAUCAGUAUUAUAAAGAUUAGAUUAGGUGCUUAAUUUUAGCUUGAUUUGCUGUACUGCAAAGUUCAUCUUGUUCAAAACCCA